Molecule: long non-coding RNA, 145 nt
Organism: Myotis brandtii (Brandt's bat)
Lineage: Eukaryota; Metazoa; Chordata; Mammalia; Chiroptera; Vespertilionidae
Exons: 3
Source: RefSeq, a predicted model, not a curated record
AUGACAAUUCAUCAACAAAUCAACAAAUGACAAUUGUUAGCUAGAUCAUGGAGAAAAAGGAUCCCUAGUACACUGCUUGUGGGAAUGCAGACUUGUCCAGCCACUAUGGAAAACAGUAUGGCAUUUCCUCAAAAAAUAAAAAAAA